Molecule: ribosomal RNA, 327 nt
Filed under: Triticum aestivum (bread wheat)
Lineage: Eukaryota; Viridiplantae; Streptophyta; Magnoliopsida; Poales; Poaceae
Description: partial small subunit ribosomal RNA
Source: RNAcentral
AUGGAUCUGCCUCCCUGCACCCUGCUGGGCCGAGCAGAAGAUGUCGUCGAUGUUGUCGUGUCGUGGGAGAACGACACCAAGCACAAGGCGGCCCUUGACGUGAAGCUCAGAACACAAGAGGAUAAAACGGAGAAAAUUGCAGAGUGGGCAAAUAAGACGUGGUGGAAGGAGCCAGGUUCCGGGAGAGGUGAGGGCUGCCGCGGAGGAAAGCCGGCGGGAGGAGAUUACCAGGUUCUGGGAGACAGCUGCGAGGCACAGGUCCAAAGAGACCAUGCCCACGGAAAAAAUUGGUCGGCUACUUCGGCUGAACAGCCAACACGCACAUAG